This 468-nucleotide ribosomal RNA is filed under the name uncultured bacterium. RNAcentral's name for it is "partial 16S ribosomal RNA". It matches the Rfam family "Bacterial small subunit ribosomal RNA", at positions 28 to 507 of the family's 1533-position model. The record is from RNAcentral.
GACGAACGCUGGCGGCGUGCUUAACACAUGCAAGUCGAACGGAAAGGCCCUGCUUUUGUGGGGUGCUCGAGUGGCGAACGGGUGAGUAACACGUGAGUAACCUGCCCUUGACUUUGGGAUAACUUCAGGAAACUGGGGCUAAUACCGGAUAGGAGCUCCUGCUGCAUGGUGGGGGUUGGAAAGUUUCGGCGGUUGGGGGUGGACUCGCGGCUUAUCAGCUUGUUGGUGGGGUAGUGGCUUACCAAGGCUUUGACGGGUAGCCGGCCUGAGAGGGUGACCGGCCACAUUGGGACUGCGAUACGGCCCAGACUCCUACGGGAGGCAGCAGUGGGGAAUAUUGCACAAUGGGCGGAAGCCUGAUGCAGCAACGCCGCGUGCGGGAUGACGGCCUUCGGGUUGUAAACCGCUUUCGCCUGUGACGAAGCGUGAGUGACGGUAAUGGGUAAAGAAGCACCGGCUAACUACGUG